This 305-nucleotide ribosomal RNA is filed under the name uncultured bacterium. RNAcentral's name for it is "bacterial SSU rRNA". It matches the Rfam family "Bacterial small subunit ribosomal RNA", at positions 334 to 636 of the family's 1533-position model. The record is from RNAcentral.
UCCCCCUACGGGACGCAGCAGUGAGGAAUAUUGGUCAAUGGGCUUACGCCUGAACCAGCCAAGUCGCGUGAGGGAAGACUGCCCUAUGGGUUGUAAACCUCUUUUGUCAGGGAGCAAUUGGCGCUACGUGUAGCGUUAUCGAGAGUACCUGAAGAAAAAGCAUCGGCUAACUCCGUGCCAGCAGCCGCGGUAAUACGGAGGAUGCGAGCGUUAUCCGGAUUUAUUGGGUUUAAAGGGUGCGUAGGCGGAAGGUUAAGUCAGCGGUCAAAUGUCGGUGCUCAACACCGGCCUGCCGUUGAAACUGG